Macadamia integrifolia is the source of this 743-nucleotide long non-coding RNA. RefSeq lists it as uncharacterized. NCBI's taxonomy places the organism in Eukaryota, Viridiplantae, Streptophyta, Magnoliopsida, Proteales, Proteaceae. The transcript has 2 exons. The record is from RefSeq and is a predicted model, not a curated record.
UGAUGUACACUACGUAUACAAGGCCAUGGUACAUGCUUUGCCCCUACUUUAUACAUAUUCUGUCCCUGACAUGUCAGCGAACCACCAUAAAUUUCUCUCUCUGCUCACGCAAUAGUAGUUUUUGAAUUUCUCUCUCUCUCUACUCACGCUGCAACAGUUUUUGAACAUAAUACCAGCUAUUCGAAGGAUUAAUCAUGAAGAAGAGAAGAAAGAAGUCUCUACAAGUGCUCGAUCAUCCCCUCGCAUCUAGUCUAUCAUCCCCUGUCGCCACUCCCAGUGUUUGAUCAUUCCCCUAUCACCUUUGAUGAAAGAAGACAAUGGCUAGAAAAUUUUAUGUUGUUUUUGAGGGGUAUAAUCGAGGAAUAUACCAGAUUUGGCUGGAAUGCAGAGCGCAAGUGACUGGGUAUCUAAGAGUUGUAUUUCAAUCAUAUCAUUCUUUAACUAAAGCAGAACACGAGUGGCAUGCCUUUCAAUCAAGAAGCAACAUUUGCAAGGAAGGAAAAUCAUCACAAGGGAAUAACUUCCCUAAAUUUACUGAGUUUUUGGGAACGAGCCCUAGAUGUUUAGAAGAGAUUCUUUCAUAUGGAAAGAAACCCUCUAAACAUGUUGUGUGUGGAGGGACCUCUCUGCUUCUUGCCAUGUUUUUCUUAUUCUUUAGAAUCAUAAUUGGAUACUGUAUUCCCUACUAAAUCUUCUAUGUAACGCUUGACGAUUUAAGUUUAUGAAUGAGUAUCUUAUUUCAA